CAGGACGAACGCUGGCGGCGUGCCUAAUACAUGCAAGUCGAACGGUCUUUCUAUGGAAGCUUGCUUCCACUGAGAAGAUAGUGGCGAACGGGUGAGUAACACGUGGGUAACCUGCCCAUAAGAGGGGGGAUAACAUCCGGAAACGGGUGCUAAUACCGCAUAGUUUUCUUGAUCGCAUGAUCGGGAAAGGAAAGACGGCCUUUGUGCUGUCGCUUAUGGAUGGACCCGCGGCGUAUUAGUUAGUUGGUGAGGUAACGGCUCACCAAGACGAUGAUACGUAGCCGACCUGAGAGAGUGAUCGGCCACAUUGGGACUGAGACACGGCCCAAACUCCUACGGGAGGCAGCAGUAGGGAAUCUUCCGCAAUGGACGAAAGUCUGACGGAGCAACGCCGCGUGAGUGAAGAAAGGUUUUCGGAUCGUAAAACUCUGUUGUCAGAGAAGAACAAGUUGGAGAGUAACUGCUCCAGCCUUGACGGUAUCUGACCAGAAAGCCACGGCUAACUACGUGCCAGCCGCUGC
RNAcentral lists this ribosomal RNA (521 nucleotides) under uncultured bacterium. RNAcentral describes it as "bacterial SSU rRNA". It matches the Rfam family "Bacterial small subunit ribosomal RNA", at positions 25 to 518 of the family's 1533-position model. The record is from RNAcentral.